GCCCCCUUUGCCAUUAUCUCCAUCGUAUCAUAACAAUCCUUCUGGUUCCAUGCUGGCUGCUUGCAAUAUUAGUAAUGUGCCGCCCGUAGUAAGUAUAUCAUUGCCGCCCCCUAACAAGGCUUAUCAUUUACCUCCACCACCUCCAACAGUGUCAAACCAGUUCUCCUAUGUCCAAAUUGAACCGCAACAAACACAGUCAUCUUGGGGAAACCCCUCUUCUUCCAU
Molecule: unclassified non-coding RNA, 225 nt
Filed under: Hevea brasiliensis (rubber tree)
Lineage: Eukaryota; Viridiplantae; Streptophyta; Magnoliopsida; Malpighiales; Euphorbiaceae
Source: RNAcentral